RNAcentral lists this ribosomal RNA (502 nucleotides) under uncultured bacterium. RNAcentral's name for it is "bacterial SSU rRNA". It matches the Rfam family "Bacterial small subunit ribosomal RNA", at positions 353 to 845 of the family's 1533-position model. The record is from RNAcentral.
AGUCGAGGAUAGUCUACAAUGGUCGAAAGAUUGAUAGUGCGACGCCGCGUGAACGAUGAAGCAUUUCGGUGUGUAAAGUUCUUUUCUAUGCGAGCAGGAUGCUGGAAGUUAAUAGCUUCCGGUAUUUGAUAUUAGUAUAGGAAUAAGCCACGGCUAACUCCGUGCCAGCAGCCGCGGUAAUACGGGGGUGGCAAGCGUUGUCCGGAAUUACUAGGCGUAAAGGGCAGGUAGGCGGUAAUAUAAGUUAAUUGUUAAAGGCCCAUGCUCACCAUGGGUAAGGCAGUUGAUACUGUAUAACUGGAAGACGGUGGAGGAAGACGGAAUUCCUGGUGUAGCGGUGGAAUGCGCAGAUAUCAGGAGGAACACCGAAGGCGAAGGCAGUCUUCUACGCCGGUUUUGACGCUAAACUGCGAAGGUGCGGGUAUCAAACAGGAUUAGAUACCCUGGUAGUCCGCACAGUAAACGAUAAUCACUAGGUGUCGGUGGGAUAGACCUGUCGGUG